This 74-nucleotide transfer RNA is filed under the name Micromonosporaceae bacterium. It matches the Rfam family "tRNA". Rfam says of the family: Transfer RNA (tRNA) molecules are approximately 80 nucleotides in length. Their secondary structure includes four short double-helical elements and three loops (D, anti-codon, and T loops). Further hydrogen bonds mediate the characteristic L-shaped molecular structure. tRNAs have two regions of fundamental functional importance: the anti-codon, which is responsible for specific mRNA codon recognition, and the 3' end, to which the tRNAs corresponding amino acid is attached (by aminoacyl-tRNA synthetases). tRNAs cope with the degeneracy of the genetic code in two manners: having more than one tRNA (with a specific anti-codon) for a particular amino acid; and 'wobble' base-pairing, i.e. permitting non-standard base-pairing at the 3rd anti-codon position. The record is from Rfam by way of RNAcentral. Lineage: Bacteria; Bacillati; Actinomycetota; Actinomycetes; Micromonosporales; Micromonosporaceae.
GCUCCGUUAGCUCAGCUGGUGAGAGCGCCGGCCGGUCAAGCCGGAGACCGCCGGUUCGAACCCGAUACGGGGCG